CUACUACCGAUUGAAUGGCUCAGUGAGGCUUUCGGACUGGCCCAGGGAGAGUGGCAACACUCACCCAGGGCCGGAAAGUUGUUCAAACUUGGUCAUUUAGAGGAAGUAAAAGUCGUAACAAGGUU
This 125-nucleotide ribosomal RNA is filed under the name uncultured eukaryote. RNAcentral describes it as "partial 18S ribosomal RNA". It matches the Rfam family "Eukaryotic small subunit ribosomal RNA", at positions 1679 to 1801 of the family's 1831-position model. The record is from RNAcentral.